Molecule: unclassified non-coding RNA, 416 nt
Filed under: uncultured marine bacterium 311
Lineage: Bacteria
Description: partial 16S-23S ribosomal RNA intergenic spacer
Rfam family: Bacterial large subunit ribosomal RNA (bases 292-416)
Source: RNAcentral
CCUCCUUAAAAAAUAAUCGCUUAGGAUAGGCGUUCACACGAAUAACUUGCUUUUACCUAAAUCAUUUCUUUACAGAUUUGAGAUUAAGAAGCGUUCUUUAACAUUUUUAUAAGUUCAAUCAAGUCACAUCAUAGUGUCUUUGUUUUUUAAUUUAGAUAUGAAUGAUGUGCAAAUGUCACCAAACCCGUCAUGUUUUAGAACAUAAGUUUGGUGUACAUACUGCAAAGUAAUUUUGGCGAAUGACAAUAGAUACUUGAAGAACAUUAAUCAUUAAGUUGUUUGAUGUAAUAUGGUCAAGUAAUUAAGCGCAUACGGUGGAUGCCUUGGCAGCUAGAGGCGAUGAAGGACGUAGUAACUUGCGAUAAGCUUCGGGGAGCCGGUAAACAGGCUUUGAUCCGAAGAUUUCCGAAUGGGGA